GUGGUUGUAGCUCAAUUGGUAGAGUACGGGAUUGUGGUUCCCGGCGUUGUGGGUUCGAGUCCCAUCAAUCACC
RNAcentral lists this transfer RNA (73 nucleotides) under Planctomycetaceae bacterium. Its description in RNAcentral is "tRNA-His". It matches the Rfam family "tRNA". From Rfam's summary of the family: Transfer RNA (tRNA) molecules are approximately 80 nucleotides in length. Their secondary structure includes four short double-helical elements and three loops (D, anti-codon, and T loops). Lineage: Bacteria; Pseudomonadati; Planctomycetota; Planctomycetia; Planctomycetales; Planctomycetaceae. The record is from RNAcentral.